Molecule: ribosomal RNA, 496 nt
Filed under: uncultured bacterium
Lineage: Bacteria
Description: partial 16S ribosomal RNA
Rfam family: Bacterial small subunit ribosomal RNA
Source: RNAcentral
GAUGAACGCUGGCGGUGUGCCUAAUACAUGCAAGUCGAGCGAACAGACGAUGAGCUUACUCCUCUGACGUUUGCGGCGGACGGGUGAGUAACACGUGGAUAACCUACCUAUAAGACUGGGAUAACUUCGGGAAACCGGAGCUUAUACCGGAUAACAUCUUGAACCGCAUGGUUCAACAGUGAAAGACGGUCUUGCUGUCACUUAUAGCUGGAUCCGCGUCGCAUUAGCUAGUUGGUAAGGUAACGGCUUACCAAGGCAACGAUGCGUAGCCGACCUGAGAGGGUGAUCGGCCACUCAGAAGGUGAGAGACGGUCCAGACACCUACGGGAGGCAGCAGUAGGGAACGGACGGAAAUGGGCGGAAGCCUGAAGGAGGAACGGCGCGUGGGUGAAGAAGGGCUGCGGAUCGGAAGACGCUGUUAUGGGGGAAGAACAAAUGUGUAUGUAACUAUGCGCGACUGAACGGAACGGGAAAAGAAGGCCCGGCCAACUACGGG